CAGCCGCCACGGGAAUACGUAGGUGGCGAGCGUUGUCCGGAAUCAUUGGGCGUAAAGGGAGCGCAGGCGGGCAUGUAAGUCUUUCUUAAAAGUGCGGGGCUCAACCCCGUGAUGGGAAAGAAACUACAUGUCUUGAGUACAGGAGAGGAAAGCGGAAUUCCCAGUGUGGCGGUGAAAUGCGUAGAUAUUGGGAGGAACACCAGUGGCGAAGGCGGCUUUCUGGACUGCAACUGACGCUGAGGCUCGAAAGCCAGGGGAGCGAACGGGAUUAGAUACCCCUGUAGUCCCUGUCUCUUAUACA
RNAcentral lists this ribosomal RNA (301 nucleotides) under uncultured bacterium. RNAcentral describes it as "partial 16S ribosomal RNA". It matches the Rfam family "Bacterial small subunit ribosomal RNA", at positions 509 to 809 of the family's 1533-position model. The record is from RNAcentral.